This 219-nucleotide long non-coding RNA is filed under the name Musa acuminata (dwarf banana). RNAcentral describes it as "long non-coding RNA (MACU_LNC005389)". Lineage: Eukaryota; Viridiplantae; Streptophyta; Magnoliopsida; Zingiberales; Musaceae. The record is from RNAcentral.
UUUUUCUUAUAUUUUCUACCUUUUUUCUUGUACCAUGUUGGAGUGUUUCCUUCUACUUCUUCGAUUUACGUGUUGAUAUUUCUUUUUUUAUUAUUUUUCUAUAGUUUCUUAUAAUGAUGAUUACUACUGUUUCGGACAGACUUAAGGACUGUAAUCAUAAGACAUGCAUGCUAUAAAUUAUUUCUUAUGUGUUGAUGAUAUAUAAAUUAUUUGCCUCUG